AGAAGUCCAGGGCUAGGAGCCUCAGCCGGCGGACGCCAGGAAACAGGUCUAGGUUAAUAGCAGGUAAUUGUGACAAGUCCAGUGUGGGUUACUGGUCAUGAAGAAUCCAUUGUUGAUGACAUCCCAGAAGAGAACACUAAGUCUUAGCUUUCAUCUUACCCCUGAACUUCCCUUCCUCUGAAGAGUGGAAUACCACCCAGCAUCCUCUCACAUACAAAGAAAGAACAAAUUGCUGAUAGACACAGAUGUCCAUCAAUCUCAAAAGUCGUCAUGAAACCUCUGGAAGAAUUGAGCUGGUCGACUAUGCAAACAGUUGUCAAGAGCCUAUAAAAUAUGCAGCAUAAAAUUUUUCCUUUGUAGUCAAACCUGAUUAUUCCUCUUAGAUACUGGGAACAGAAUUUCACAGUCGUCAGAGAAUAUACCUUUUGUAUUUUCGUAUUAAAUAUGUACUCCUAUUACUUAACAAUUGUAGUUUAACUCCUUUUUUAGGUAAAAUUCUAAUUUUUCUCUUCUGUUAAAAAUUUCCAGUUCCAACACGAAGAUAAUAAAGAAUAUUAAUUUUAUCCUUAUUAACUUGAAGGAAGUAAUAUUUAUUUUUGUAUUUCUGUACUUAAGUAUAUCACAAAUACAGAUUUCUGUAGUUGGAGAAUUAAUAUAAAGUAACAUAGUAUUCAAUAAGAAGGGAUUUUUCUUUAUUAAAAAGAGGUCUGAAUUAUAAACUAAAUAUCUGUGUAACUUUGAACAAUUUAUUUA
This 753-nucleotide long non-coding RNA is filed under the name Homo sapiens (human). RNAcentral describes it as "HSALNT0312971". Lineage: Eukaryota; Metazoa; Chordata; Mammalia; Primates; Hominidae. The record is from RNAcentral.